GACAGAGGUCCCGAGCGUUGUUCGGAUUCAUUGGGCGUAAAGGGUGUGUAGGAGGCUAGGUAAGUCAGGUGUGAAAUCUCAGAGCUUAACUCUGAAACUGCGCUUGAUACUGCUUAGCUAGAGGAUCGGAGGGGGUAACGGAAUUCAUGGUGUAGCAGUGAAAUGCGUAGAUAUCAUGAGGAACACCGGUGGCGAAGGCGACUACCUGGCCUGUUCUUGACGCUGAGGCGCGAAAGCUAGGGGAGCAAACGGG
Molecule: ribosomal RNA, 253 nt
Filed under: uncultured bacterium
Lineage: Bacteria
Description: partial 16S ribosomal RNA
Rfam family: Bacterial small subunit ribosomal RNA
Source: RNAcentral